RNAcentral lists this ribosomal RNA (253 nucleotides) under uncultured bacterium. RNAcentral describes it as "partial 16S ribosomal RNA". It matches the Rfam family "Bacterial small subunit ribosomal RNA", at positions 524 to 776 of the family's 1533-position model. The record is from RNAcentral.
UACGGGGGGGGCAAGCGUUGUUCGGAAUUACUGGGCGUAAAGGGCUCGUAGGCGGCCACUAAGUCAGACGUGAAAUCCCUCGGCUUAACCGGGGAACUGCGUCUGAUACUGGAUGGCUUGAGGUUGGGAGAGGGAUGCGGAAUUCCAGGUGUAGCGGUGAAAUGCGUAGAUAUCUGGAGGAACACCGGUGGCGAAGGCGGCAUCCUGGACCAAUUCUGACGCUGAGUGAGCGAAAGCCAGGGGAGCAAACGGG